CUUGAAAGAGUAAUGCAAUUAAAGACCGCGAUCGCAAUGAAAAUCCUUAAGCUUACGUUUUUGAUGGCAAUGAUAGGUGCAUUGAUGAUCUUCUCCACAUCAGUUGAGGGUUACGCUGUCGGUGAAGCCCAACAUCAUCGCCUCCAACGAGACGUACCUUGCGGCGGAAUCAACAUGAACAACUGCGGAACGAUAUGCACCGCCCAGGGAAAACGUCCCAACGGAAUGUGUCAGAUAGGCGCUUGCAUUUGUAUCUGAAAUACCCGCAAAUGAAUAAAAUGAAAAAUCCCAAAUACUAUGUUUGUUGCGUAUUAUACCAUUGAGUGACAAAACUCGGUUCUUCCCCGCGAGAUAAACCAGGGGUAUAUAAAUUCUGACCGCGUACUUAAUCAGUCAAACUGAGUUUGUCAGAUAUUAGAGAAUCUAUCGUCAUGGCGAAAUUUCACGGAUUCUUCGUUCUGGUGGCACUGGCCCUUGUGAUUAUUUCGGUUGCGGAUGCAGCCUACGGAGGUGCUGAAGAGGGACAUUCUCGUAUCCAACGGUCCGUGCCUUGCGAAAACAUCGGUAUGCACAACUGCGCCACAAUCUGUGGUGCCAGAGGAAAACGUCCCACCGGAAGAUGCGAAAUCAACCAGUGCAUCUGUUAUUGAGAACAACGAAUAUUCUUCUUCAUAAA
Long non-coding RNA from Diachasma alloeum, 676 nucleotides. RefSeq lists it as uncharacterized. NCBI's taxonomy places the organism in Eukaryota, Metazoa, Arthropoda, Insecta, Hymenoptera, Braconidae. The transcript has 3 exons. The record is from RefSeq and is a predicted model, not a curated record.